This 615-nucleotide unclassified non-coding RNA is filed under the name Hevea brasiliensis (rubber tree). The record is from RNAcentral. Lineage: Eukaryota; Viridiplantae; Streptophyta; Magnoliopsida; Malpighiales; Euphorbiaceae.
ACUGUUCCCUCCAACAGGAUUAUGUAUCUGCUAUAAUCAAAUUUACAAUUUUUCCCAAGAAUGACCAAGUAAUCCAAUGAAUAAUUAUCAUAACAUUACAACAAUUCCAAUGUGGAGAAUACUAUUUUGCAGCAUCAUCUAUCUGUCCGUGUGAAUUCAAUCUCGCACCUUAAGUUUGGACCGCAAUCUCAUGCUUUUCAGGUUUAAGUUGAAACCUCUAGCUGUUAGCAUCUUCAUUCCCAGAGGGCAACCUCUGAUUAGUCUUCAGAAGUUGUCAUUACGGUUGGCAUCCCAAUUUUCUUAUUUAAUGAAAAAUCACUCUGUAGUUCAAGUUCUCGUAUUUGUUGCAUCGUCAUCCCAAACCAUUCAUCAAUCCAACCAAAACAGUUCCGAUGAGAUUCUAAGAAAAGAGCCCUUUCACCCGCUAGUAAAGCCUGUUCAAGUCGAUAACCAAAGCCCCAAUAUGGUGCAUCUACUGUUACCAACUUGUAUGCUGUCAUAACAGGUUUACAUCUGCCAUCCAUCCAAAAGUGGACCACGGCCAGUUCUUACAGAUUUGAAAUUAGAGAAGUCCAUGCUGUUGCUUCCAAUAGCAUAACUCCAAUAAUCUGUUUC